Long non-coding RNA from Canis lupus familiaris (dog), 1482 nucleotides. RefSeq lists it as uncharacterized. The record is from RefSeq and is a predicted model, not a curated record. NCBI's taxonomy places the organism in Eukaryota, Metazoa, Chordata, Mammalia, Carnivora, Canidae. The transcript has 3 exons.
CUUCUUCCAGGGCCUAGUUCAUCCCCAGCAGUCCUGCUGGGCCAUCUCCUCCUGUGCCCCUCCUAUGCUCCAGCCUGGCCUUAGGCUUUCCCAAGGGUGCACAGUUAAAAGACCCAGCAGUUAACAGACCCAGGGCCAAAUUAAGAGGAGGAACGUGUCUAGGCACCUUCUUGGGCUAGGCCAGGCUGGGCCAAGAGGAGGCUGGCAUGACCCUGUCUCCCACCCGUGAUCCUCCCCAAAAUUUCCCUUACCAGCACUGCAACCAGCUCUCCUGGGCCCCCACAGUCAGCAUUCUCCCCACCACCGAGACAGAGGGGCCAUGGACCAGAGAGAGGCAGGGACCCGUCAAGGUCACACAGUGAGCCUGGGAUGGGAUUGUGUGUUCCUAGGGGAAUCUUAGAUAAGAGAAGACCAUUGCUGCCCCUGCCCAUACCAGGGGGCUUCCCGGACUCUGUACUGUCUGCCUGAGGGCCGAGGCACCUCCUCACCCGCCAGGUGGGGGAGGGAGGCCCGGAGGAUCGGGUUAAUGGAGCAGGAGCUUGAAACCGGAGCACGGUGAAGAGCCCGCGAAAUAGCUUUGUCAGCUGCCUCCCACUUGCCACUUUCCAAUUUUAGCUCCCCAUGGCCGGUGCGGGGUGUCCCCAGUGAGGCCUCCGUGAGCAGGGCCCGGGCUGGCUCCCAGCCUGAGACCUCUUCCGGCAGACCCCUGGACUGGGGCCCCCAUUGGACACAGCGGUGCCCCCGUCCCCAGGACCUGCCUACCUCAGGAGUAAGAACCCCACCACUCACCGAUCCUGGGUGCAAGCGGAGACCAGUCUGGGCCAGCCGUCCAGCUGGUGACCCCAUGAGGCUCAGAGAGAAGGGCUCAGAGCACAGGUUCAGCCAGCUGACUUGCACCGAGCCCAAGAUCUGCCUCGCUGCGGGGAUGCACUUCUCAGAGCCUCAGAGUCUCAUCUAUGCAGGACAAAGGCUGCCUUCCUCCAGAAGCCCUCCUUGAUGCCUGCUCUGCAUUCCCCUGGACUUACACUUCGGUCUCUACCACAAGUUUCUGGAAGGCAGCCAGGCCUGAAGCCUGCUCUGCAGGUUGAGCCCGAGUCUAGAUCAUCACUGCCUCUGAUACCCUCAUACCAUUGGGGCCCCCCUGCCUCCAGAGCCAGCAGCUCUCUACAUACAUACAGAAGCUCUGCCUCUGACCAGCAGCUCCCUACAUACAUACAGGGCAUCCAGGGUGGUCAGGGCCAGAGGCCACAGAAUGCUCAGAAAAAGAGAACAAAGACAACUGGUGGGAAUUUGGGCACAGUCCCAGCCUUGGAAAACCUGUACUGAAAAGGGCCUCAGAGGUGGCAUGGUUCUCAGGGAUGGUGUGGCCCAGGGAAAGUCACCUGGCAUCAGUAGACUUGGCUUUCACCCCCUGCUGUGUGGCCUCGGGUAAACCACCAACCUCUCUGAGCUGGUUUUCUCAUCUGUAAAAUGAGGAUAAUA